GAGGGAAACGUUACUGAUAAUACUGGAUAAGUUAGUAUAUCGCAUGAUAUGCAAAUGAAAGCUACGGCACUAAAGGAGAGCUUUGCGUCCUAUUAGCUAGUUGGUAAGGUAAGAGCUUACCAAGGCGAUGAUAGGUAGCCGGCCUGAGAGGGUGGACGGCCACAAGGGGACUGAGAUACGGCCCUUACUCCUACGGGAGGCAGCAGGC
This 208-nucleotide ribosomal RNA is filed under the name uncultured Leptotrichia sp. RNAcentral's name for it is "partial 16S ribosomal RNA". It matches the Rfam family "Bacterial small subunit ribosomal RNA", at positions 149 to 354 of the family's 1533-position model. Lineage: Bacteria; Fusobacteriati; Fusobacteriota; Fusobacteriia; Fusobacteriales; Leptotrichiaceae. The record is from RNAcentral.